Molecule: long non-coding RNA, 4680 nt
Filed under: Macaca nemestrina (pig-tailed macaque)
Lineage: Eukaryota; Metazoa; Chordata; Mammalia; Primates; Cercopithecidae
Description: lncRNA (ENSMNEG00000045643.1)
Source: RNAcentral
AUGGUGGCGGGGCUGCACACCAGGGCUGGUGCUCCUGCCUGGAGGCUGGACAUGACCUCAGUGUCGUUAGUGAGGGCUGGGCUGACCCUUGCGCACUGCAGUGCUGAGCAGGCCCAGGGACCUUAUGACCCACCGUGUGGCAGAUGUAAGAGUGAGGCCCAGGAGUGUGGCUUACACAAGGUCCUUCAGCAGCUGUCACCCAGGGUGAAGAGAACCUUCUACCAGAACGUGUCCUCUCCAGCGGCGUUCUUCUGGCCCCUCUACAGUGUGCGCAAUGGGAACUUCCAGCUGUCUGCACCCACCAUGUGCCUCGCCUCCUCCUUCUGCGAAUGUGUCUGUCCUGUGGCCGUGGGGAAGGGUCUGUGCUGUGUGCACUGCCCUCGGGGCUCUCACUGCCUCUGGGCUCCUGCUCUGCCUGGUUCCCUGGUCCCCCCGGAUCGCAUGCCAGAACCACAUCUGAGGAGUGAGCUCUGCACUUCCCCCUCUGUGGCCCUGUUGGGCUCCCACAGCCCAGGAACCAACUUGCAUGGGGGCCCACAGAGCCGGUGUGCUGCUGAGCCGGGACUGUGCUGGCGCCCCAUGAGGAGCCUCAGAACCCUGGGUCAGGAGGCCACUGCACUGCUCACCUGUGGCCCAGCGCAUCCUUGGAAAUCUGUGGGCCUGGAGGAGGAGCAGGAAGGCACUGGGACCUGAGCUCAGAGGAUGUGCUGUCAGCAGGGUGUGCGGAGUGGAGGGCACAGCCACUUGCCUGUCUGCCACGGGAGGACUGGGCCCCCAUAUCCCCCACCAGGCCAUGUUACUCCCUUCCGUCCUCAGCAAGGCUCGGUCCUGGAUGUUCUAGGUCCCUGACUUGCCAGAUGAAUCGUCCGUUUUGGGAAAGUGGACUUAAGUCUCCACAGCCCUUGUCUGGGACUGAACCUCCUGAGAACGGGCCCCUAGCAGUGGUCGGAAGUCCUGUCUGGAUGGAGGCUCAGGGGCAGCUUCAGGGAGGAAGGAUCCCUCUGCUCGGUGCCUGUGGGGAGGAGUCUCUACCCUCAGCAUCCUGCCCACAGGUUCCUCCGCUGUCCCUUUUCUUUAUCCCUGGCCUCUCUGAGAAGGGGGGUGUGGUCUCUCAGCUGUUCCGCCAUCAUCCCCUUAAAGGGCCAGCCUGGGCCCAUUGGACACAGGUAAGGCACCAUGACCACCUGGUGUGAGCUCUCUGUGCCUUCCUGACGCCCUUUUUUAGAGAUUAAAAGGGGCUUCACGGCUGUUCCAAACUGUUGAUGGCUGGGAAGAGGGGCCAGAGGAGGAGUGAGGGAUGAGGUUUGGUCAGCCCUAGGCCUUCUGGGCUCUAGGGACAGCACGGUGGAUGCUCAAUGACAGUUUUGGGGACAGUAGGGUGGAGGCUCGGGGACAGCUCUGGGCUGAGGUCAGGGUGGAGGCUCAGGGGCAGCUCGGGGACAGCAGGGUGGACAUUCAGGGACAGUUCCUGGGAGGCCAGCGCCCUCAUUCCUCCUUGUCCUCAUCCUCCCACUUGCUCCUGGAAACUGAGAGCUGAGGCUGGAGCUCCCAGACAGUCAGUGCUGGAAGUGACCAUCCAGCAGUGAUGGUGGCCUGUGAAGGGUCCUGCUUCUGUCCCCAGCCUCUCAUGGGGUGGGCUUGGGGAGAAGCUGUGGUCUGGAGAGAGUGGCAGAUGGAGCAGAACGUGCCUGCAUUUGUUUCCUAGAGCCGCCAUAACAAAGUGCCACAAAAGGGGUAGCUUAGAACCAUGGAGAUUUGUUGUCUCUGUUCUGAAGUCCAGAAGUUGGAAAUAAAGAUGUUGGCAGUGUUCCCGACUACAUGUUCUUAGGCUCCCAUGAAACAGAAGUUGAUACCAGGCCAAGCAAGUUUCCCAGACAAGGCUUUAUUAAGUCUUAUGCCCUAAAGGUUGUCCAGGAGGAAGGAUUCUUGGCUGGCUCCCCAAGGGGAGUGCACUGUGGUGUCUUGAGGGUGACAUGCAUGAUUUAUGAGUUAGGUAAGUGUCAUUACACAUAUGGGGUGGAGUGAAGGGUGCUCAGUUGCAGUGAAGAAUCACGCUAACACAAACGCUGUGUGAUUGGAAAAUAGCAGAAAAGCCCAUACCUGGGUGGGGAUUUUAGUGUUAUAACGAGGCCAGGGGUAAGGAUCGGUCAUUCUCCUGGCCUCAUGCACAAGCGGGUGAUCGAGUUAACUCCCUUGAGUAAGACUUAUGGCGGGAUGCUGCUAAUCUUAGUUUAUUUCAGACAGGUGGCAAGGUCUGGCCAGCGAGUGUGGCACCUGCAGCGAGUAUGGUGCUGCAAGCUCUGGGGGUCAGUGGGCACAUAUGGAACAACGCGUUAGUGGGGGUGGGCCGAGUCCCAUUUCUACUCUGUCUCAGCAGGCCAUGCUCCCUCUGAAGGCACUAGGGAAGGAUGCAUUUCGGGCCUCUCUUCAGCUUCUGUUAGUUUCUUGGCUUGUGACAGCAAAACUCCACUUCUUUUUUAAGAUAGCGUCUUGGUCUGUCGCCCAGGCUGAAGUGCAGUGGCGUGAUCUCAGUUCUCUGCAACUUCUGCCUCCCCGGUUCAAGUGAUUCUCCUGCCUCCACCUCCCAAGUAGCUGGGAUUACAGGUGCAAGCCACCACGCCCAGCUAAUUUUUGUAUUUUUAGUAGAUACAGGAUUUUGCCAUGUUGGCUAGGCUGGUCUCAAAUUCCUGGCCUCGAGCGAUUGCCUGCCUCCCCUUCCCAAAGUGCUGAGAUUACAGACAUGAGCCACCGCACCCGGGCAUGUCAUCUGUAUCUCUUUUUUGGUGAGGUGUCUAUCUUGUAAUUGGGCUUUUUUCUUUUUGUUAUUAGAAUUUGUUUGUUAUUUUACACACAAGUCUUUUUUCAGGUUUCUUUUUAAAAUAUUUUCUCUCAGUCUGUGGCUUGUUUUUUGAUUCUCUUAACGGGAUACAUCAGAGAGCAGUCAUUUUAAAUUUUAAUAAAGUCCACAUUAUCAUUUUUUUCUUUUAUGAACUGGCUUUUGGUAUUGUAUCUAAAGACUCAUCACCAAUCCAAAGUCAUGUGGAUUUUCUUCUAUAACUUUUACAAUUUUACAUUUGAAAAUGUAAGUCUACAGACUAUCCUGAGCGAUUUUUUGGGGGUGAGCUAUGAAGUUUGUAUCUACGUUGCUCGGGUUUGUCUUGAACUCCUGGGCUCAAGUGAUCCUUACAGCUCAGCCUCCCACAGUACUGGGAUUACAGGCGUGAGCCACUGCACCUAGCCUGGAGUCUCUUUCUUCCUUCCUUCUCCCUUCCCCUUCCCCUUACUUAUUUCCUUUUUCUUUCCUGGUUUCUUUUUAUUUAUUUUUUUCUUUUUCUUUUUGAUACUGAGUCUCGCUGUGUCGCCAGGCUGGAGUGCAGUGGCGUGAUCUCGGCUCAUUGCAACCUCCGCCUCCCGGGUUCAAGGGAUUCUCCUGCCUCGGCCUCCGGAGUAGCUGGGACUACAGGCGCCCGCCACCAUGCUCAGAUACUUUUUGUAUUUUUAGUAGAGGCGGGGUUUUACCAUGUUGGCCAGAAUGGUCUUGAUUUCCUGACCUCAAGUGAUCCGCCAGACUCGGCCUCCCGAAGUGCUGGGAUUACAGGCGUGAACUGGCCGCCGUCUUUGAUUGCUAUCUCCAUGCGUUCCGGUCAAGGCACUGGACGGUGGGCUCCGUUUCAGUUGAAAUUUCCAAAAUCACGGCCUGGAAAAAUCAAGGCGCUGAUUUUCAGAGAUUCCCCACAGCUGCCGCGAGGGGGCGCCCGGCCCUGCCAAACCCGGAGCGCCGCGCGCCAGAGGCGUGUCCGAUCCGCACGGCGGCGUCCUGGGGCGUCCCCUGUGAAGACGGAGCUUUCUCUCCUCAGGACCCGCCGGGGAGGGGCCGGGGCUUGGGACACCUGGGGACACCUGGGGCCGCGUCCGCUGUGAGGACAGGGAGACGCUGCUGCAGCUCCGGGACACCCGGGGCCGCCGAGGCAAAGGUGAGGAAAAGGCUUCCGCCCCCGCUGUGAGCGCAGCGGAGCGAGCGCGGCGGCGUUUCCCGUCGGGCUGUUUGUAUCCAGACUUCACGUUGAACAAGCUCCCUUCAUGGAGGCCUGGGCGGGUCACCCCCAGCGCGAGGCCAAGAUGCGGGUCACGAAGGCGAGUUUGUUUCUGGAGAGGAGGAGGAACGCGGAGACCCCGUGGGGCGGUCGGGAUGUUGGGGACUGGCGGGCGCCACAGCCUGAGGUCGGGAAAGAGGCGCCCCGGAUCCGUGCGCAUUUGUUUGUUUGUUUGUUUGUUUUUUGAGGCGGAGUUUCGCUCUUGUUUCCCUGGUUGGACGCGAUCUCGGCUCACUGCAGCCUCCGCCUCCCGGGUUCAAGCGAUUCUCCCGCCUCAGCCCCCUGGGAUUACAGGCACGCGGCAGCACGCCCGGCUCAUUUUGUAUUUUUAGUAGAGACGGGGGUUUCUCCAUGUUGGUCAGGCUGGUCUCGAACUGCCAACUUCAUCAGGUGAUCCACCCACCUCGGCUUCGCAAAGUGCUGGGAUUACAGGCGUGAGCCACCUCGCCUGGUCAGUACUCGGUGUUUUCAGGCUCCUUUGUUAACACAGUGGAAACAACACAGGAAAAUGGAUAAGUAGGCAAUUUGUUCAAUGCUCCGCUACUUGCACUUAAGCCCGGGGCGCAGAGCAACACUUGUCUACAAU